ACCGGCGAAGCCCUCCAUUGGACGAGCCAUGCUGAGGGAUCCCUCUGGGAGCCAACCAAAGGCGCGAAUCUGGAGCCGAAGAGGCAGGAUCGCCAAGUGGACCCGUUUUGGAGGUCACAGCUCCUCUGGGCGCGGCUUAGUGGCGGAGCUUGCCUUGAGGGGAGGGUCUUCCACUUGUCGCCAGCGUGAACUCUGGUGCCCCGUGAGUGUUCGGAAUGGACCCCCAAAUCUGCCCCCGCCAGGUCGCACUCGACUCUGUUUCGACGACUUUUUUUGUAUCACUUUCUCUUCCUUUUUGCCUUGGGGUCCCUUUGGUCCCUCCCUUUCUCUUCGCUCUCAGAAAUCCGAGUUUCGCAGAUGCUUAGCUCAGAGGAGAAAAUUGUGUGCGGAAUUAAGUCCUUCCUUCUGUUAGGCAGUUGGAUGGGAGGGACCAAAAAUCACUUGGUGUCCUGACAAGAUUUGUUACAGUUGCUAAGAUCGUCAGCUCUAAUGCUUUGAGGGAGAUAACUUCCUGCAAACCCAGAACUUUCGGAUUUCUUCCGAGCUCGAAGCUUCUUCACUUACCACACCAGAGGAAACCUUGCACGUGUGCAUUCAACAUGUCCAAGCUUAUGUCCACAUCCUUCACUUCCUGCAAAUAGUGAUGUCUAAUCAGCACAGCUCUGUCUGCCCCCUGAUCUGGGCACACAUGGUCCCCUGAUCUCAUGGACUCCUUACACUUUGCAAUUGGAGGAAGAUCCUUCCAGAUCACGCCACAUGAAGAUGGAGGCAGAUGUUGGACUGAUGCUUCUACAAGCCAGAGAACUCCAAGGUGGCCAGCAUAUCAUCAGAAGCUAUGGGAGAGGCAUGAAACAUCUUUCCCUCACUGCCCUCAGAAGGAACAGGUGGUGCUGACACCUUGAUCUCGGAUUCUAGCCUCCAAAACUUUAACAAUUUACACUAGUUCUAAAACUCAUCUCAACCUGGAACUCACAGGGUAUGCCUUUGUGGAACAUGAGGAAAUUCUGCCAUUUGACUCCACUGCAUGUAUAAGAAAAAGACCUUCAACUUUUCAAACAGACCUUAUAUACAUACUGGAUGAGUGAAAACAUGUACUGAGAACUACCUACCAUCCUUCAGACACUCUUCUUGGCAUUGUGGAUACAAAGCUAAUCUUGACCCUCGGCAGUCAAGCUGGAAUUGAGAAGCUUGAUGUGGAGAUAGCCUAAAAGUGAAAGAAGAAGUAUUCAAGGAGGAAAGAAGUAGAGGAAGAAACAACACAUCAUUUCAAUCUGCAAAAGGUAUAGGAAAGACGAAGAAUACAAGCCCUAGAAACUGGUUUGAACUCCAGCAGUGAUUUCAACAAAAGAACAAAGUGACCAAAAUAACAAAAGACCAGUGAUGUACUUUCAUCUUCUACGGAACUAACAGAACCUGGAGAACGAAAACCUUCACAUCAAAUUGGAUUCAUGAGCUGUAUACACUGGGCGAUGAUGACAGCACAAGAAAUAAUUUCAACUAACUUGUAAGAAAUCAAGUCAAAUUUAAUUUCUACAAUUAAAUGGACUUUUUUUUCUUCUUAAACACUCAACUACUUAACUGAAUGGUCAGCUAACCACUGAAUUAACUAUAGAAAAAUAUUUUUUUAAUUAACCAAGUUGUUAAUUGAUUCCCACAUGUCCCAUCAGCAAGUCCCCUUUCUGGCCCACAGCAGCCUUUUCAACACACUAAUAGGCAUUACAAUCAGACCUACUGGAUAAGAAAAACUACCUUUGAUGUUCUGUCUACGCUAAAAAAAAAAACAAAAAAAAAAACUUUGAACUAUUUAAUUAACCUGUAAAUUUCUGAGUCUGGGAAAUUUCAUUUACUCUUAUAACAAAUGUGAAUGCAGAUAAAGUCACUUCAAGAGAUAAACUGAUAGCAGUUUUAUGAAAUAAGUAGUAGGGUUCUAAGUGUUUUAGAAGAAUCUAAUGUAAAAUAAAAAUUCAGAGAAGAAAAACUCUGAUUCAGACAGCUUUUACUAUUUGGAAACCCAUAUAAUGACCUAUCUCAUUUGGUAAUUCCAAAAAUUAGGUUUCAAAAUACCAUACAUCACCCAUAUUAUAAUGCCACUUAUAUUCCAAAGUACUUAAAUAUUUGGAAAAUUUUUUUGUACCUGCAAUGAAUACAAAUAGGCACAUCUUCAUGUUCUUGGUAUUUCCUCAUUAAGCUUAUCAUGUCCAGAAUGGAAUCAAACGAUGAGGGAACAUCAUGAUCUGGCCAGUUCACGUAAUGAAACUGAUACAGCCUACGAGAUUCCUUCAAGAAAAAACAGAAAUUCAACAAUUAUAAAAAGACAUUACAAAUUUUAAAGCAUACAGAAAAGCUGCUCAUCUGACUUUACCGUCAUUUCUGAAGUUUUUAUGUGGUAUUUAACACUGCCUUAAAAAAGUAAAUGAUAGGCUAUAUUUAUUGACUAUCAUACAUCAAGUCUUAAUCUAAGGGCUUCACAUGUAACAAUUUAUUUAUUCCCCAUGUAAUUUUAUGAGGAAGGUACUGUUAAUAGUAUCCACGAUUUAUAGGUAAGGAAACUAAGAAAGAUUACAUAACGUGCCUAAUGUUUCACAGCAAGUGACAAAUGUAGGAUCUGAACUCAGGCACUCUUAUCUCCAGAGCAUGCAUGUUAACUCUAACAUUAUGUAUAUUAUUUGGUAAUCCACAGUAAAGGGAUGAGCAAUAUACCAUAAGCACAGUGUUUGAAUCUAUUGUAAUUAGAAAACUAAUAGGAUAUUUAAACUGAAAAAGAAAAUUAGAAACAAACUUGUCCAAUGCCAAACCCACUUCCUUAUUUUAGAUGAGUGGUUCUCAAAGUAUGGAGUGCUGGAACCAUGUCUACUUGUAAAAAGGAAGGUAGGCUGUGGAAGUGUGUUUCAAAUGUACCAGUUGAGGAACAACUGUGCACUUGAUGGCCAUGCUUAAUUGUUCAUAAUGGCUUGAAAAAUUAAGAUAAUAAAAAUACAGAGAUCUUGGAAGAAGCUGAUAGCAUUUUCUAAUGUCCAUCAAAUUUUUGAUUUCCUAGAAAAAUUAUCAUUUUUUUUUUAACGUUUAUUUAUUUAUUUUGAGACAGAGGGAGAGAGAGAAUCCCAAGCAGGCUCCACAUUGUCAGUGCAGAACCCAAUGCAGGGGCUCAUUCUUAUGAACUGGAAGAUCAUGAUCUGAGCCCAAAUCAAGAGGCGAAUGCUUAACUGACUCAGCCACCCAGCCGCCCCAAGCAAUUAUCAUUUUAUAUAGUUCUGAAACACGAAAGUCAAGGGCCUCAAGUGAAAGCAAUAUAUAUCAAAAUGAAGAUUUAGCUUUGAUGGUGGUUCGUCUAUGUCUAAAAAGUUGUAAACUAGCAAAAGUGGGUAAAUAAUUUGGAAAGAAUGCUAUAAUCUGCUUAAUGUAAUAGAGAAAAAAAUAUUUAUGGCAAAUAGAUACAAUAAAUUUAAUUUAGGGAAAAUUGUUUUAAGUAAGUCAAGAUUUAUAUUACUUUAAUUUGAUAAGCUCAAGGCUCAAGACACUAAAUAAAAAUUACACUUUGAUUUUCUUCACUAUUUUACAUAAGGAAAUUUGCUAAUUAUUUUAGUUAACUAUGUAAGACCAGAUAGCAUGCAAUUUAUAUACCUUCUCUUCAAAAAUUUCCUUAGAAACGGUCUCUAAAUGGAAAAUACUUACAUUUUGAAAUUCAAGUAAGAGUGUCCUAAUAAAGUAGUCUGUUCUUGCUUGUUCAGCUUCCUAAAUACAGGAAAAGUGAGUCAGUGAGAACAUUGAAACCAAAACAUCCACACACCAAAACAAACAAAAACCACUUAUUUAAAGUCUACAAUAUAAAAUUAACCUUUGAAAUUCCAGAUAUAUCUAGUAAUUACAAAAACAACCAUUCUAAAAGUCACUGAUUUGUCUACUCAACUUUGCUGUUCUGAUGGGCAAACAGGUAAAUUAAUGGGCAAGGCAAUAUUCUAGUAAAUCUUUAUUUACAAAACAGGCAGUGGACUAGACUGACCUAUGCAUAGCGUGCCCACGUCUGGUCUAAGUGGUUACAUGCAGCGACAUGCAACCGAGUCCCUCCUGGCUAGUCCUCCGUGUCCCAACACUUUACCCUCUUUCUCAUCCCCAAAUCAAAAGUGCUCCUGAUACUGUCUUUUCUCAGUCUCAAAAACUGAUUGUCAAAAAGUCAAGUCACGUACUAUGGUUAUUUUCACCAGCUUGCUUUCUAAUUACAAACUUGAUUUUUAUUUACAUCAGUAACAACAAGUCCUGAGUUGCUGGAAACAACCACAAGACAUACAAAUUACUUUCCAUCUGAAAUCUUGAAAGAAGAAAUUUGCUUCUUCAGUAUGGAUCAAUCCCAAUAUUGACAAAUCAAACCAGCUAUUGCUAAUCAAAUCAAACUUAUUCAAAAGAUGAUUAAAUUAUCAUUUCAUUCACUCUGAAAAAUCAUCCAAAAAAGGUCAUAGUUUUCCAAAUUAUAAUCCAUUUCUUUACUCAUUAUAGUAAAGUCUUUUAAUUUUUAUUUAUUUAUUUUUGAGAAAGAGCAAGAGAGUGAGAGAAAAUAUGCAUGCGCGAGCAGGGGAGGGGCAGAGAGAGGAAGAGAGAGAAUCCCAAACAGGCUCCAUGCUGACACUGCAGAGCCCAACGUGGAGCUCAAACAUACUAACUGUGAGGUCAUGACCUGAGCCAAAAUCAGGAGAAGGAUGUUUAACUAACUGAGACCCUCCUCUACUCAUUAUUUUAAAUGUUGUUUACUAUUCUUGAUCCCCAACUCUUCAAAAAUUUCAACUCAUUUAGCUGUUGAAUGUUAAGCACUAUACAUUUUCACUUGAAUUGUAACAUUUAGUACAGAUAUCUUAUUGUAUUCAAACUUACAAAUGUUCAACACAACUACAUUGCACAGAAAAUAGAUUUCCUGAACAGUUCAGAGGCAUAAUAUUGUAGAAUACUUUACAGAUUGGUGAGAGGGGAGGUGUUCUCUCACAGAAAUACAUAAUGUGGUAUGUAUUGGUUUUUAUCCAUUCCAAAUAAUAUGACAUGCAGUAGGAUUUAAAAUUAUAUUUAAUCCACAAACAGUUAAUUCUAACCAGGACUUAAGAAUACUGGCUGCUUAUUAAAUCCAGGCAGUUCAACUAUGUGUUAUAGUUAACAUUACAAAAAUCGCAUUGUAUUUAUAAAGCAGACUGUCCACACACCUCAAGUCCUUUCUACAGCAACCUAGAAAGCAAUAAACUUUGUAUGGAAUUUAAAAGUCAUUAAGUAGAAAUAAUUCAUAAAACCAUGGACUUCUUGAACUCACCAGUGAAAAUAAAAUCACAGAAAUUAUAUUUUACUUAACUAUGGAAAACAUAGUUACAAACCAGCAAUUCUCAGUUGGAGAAUGUAACAGUUAAUUCCAUGUGUCAAUGUGGCUGGGUCACAGAGCGCCUAGAUGUUUGGUCAAACAUUAUUCCUUGUGUUCCUGUAAAAGUGUCUUUGGGUGAGAUUAACAUUUAAAUCAGUGGACUCUGAGUAAAGCAGACUGCCCUCUAGAGUAUGUAUGGGUGGCCCUCCAUCCAUUUAGGGCCUGAACAGAACAAAAAGACCAACCUCGCCCGAGUGAAAUUCUCCACUAGCCUACUUUCAUGGGCAAGGAUGGCUCUUCAGUUCUACAGCAGACUGUCUUUACACUAGAACUGAGUAUCAGCUCUUCUGGGUCUCCGCCUUGCCUACCUUUUAGCUCUCUUGGCCUCCAGACUAGAUCUAAAGCACAACUCUCCUGAGUCUGCAGCCUGGCUGACCACCCUACAGAUUUUGGACUUGCCAGCUUCCAUGAUCCUGUGAGCCAGUUUCAUAUAAUAAAUCUUUUUCUCGUAUAUAUGCAUAUCCUACUGGUUCUAUUUCUCUGGGAAACCCUAACCAAUACAGGGAAGUUAUUUAAUUCUCAUCUAUGUUCAGUCAUGGUCUUUGAGUAUGAGUAAAUAAGACAACAUAUUUCUUUCAAGUGAUUAAGAAAGAUGCCAUUGGGUGUAACCAAAAAGCAAAUUGUUGGUUCUAUUCUAAAGUUCACGUAUAUUUUACUUCCUUUUUAAAAAAUGUUUCCCUUCAUUCUUUUUCCUUUAAAUUCAUUUACUUAGAUUUCUGCUGUGUUUUAGAACUUAAAUUUAUUAACUCAUUUCCAGAGUUAACAUAUUAGGUAUAUGCUUUAAGUUUCAUAAUAAAUUAUCUGCCAUAUAGGAUCAAUCUUUCCUUUUAGGAUAGCAGUUCUCAAACCCAUCUUUGUAUAUAAUUAUAACAAUUCUGGAUAGCAUAACGAACCUAUGAAAGAUUAUCACACAAAACUAUACUUCAGUCAUCAAGGAUCCUUCCCAUUUCAGUUUGAAACUACUUUACACCAAUUUUUCUUUUUUCUCUUUAAGAUCUUACUUUUAAUCUCUACACCCAACAUGGGGCUUGAACUCACAAGCCUGAGAUUAAGACAUGGUUCACUGACUGAGCCAGCCAGUUGCCCCACCUUUAUACCAGUAUUCAAAUAGAGCACUCAAGGGGUGCCUGGGUGGCUCAGUCACUUAAGCGUCCAACUCUUAGUUUUGGCUAGGGUCAUGGUCUCCUGGUUGGUGAGUUCAAGCCCUACAUCGGGCUCUGUGCUGACCAUGUGGAGUCUACUUGGGCUUCUCUCUCUCUCCCUCUCUCUGCCCCUCCCACACCCUCUCCCUCUCAAAGUAAAUAAAUGAACUGAAAAGUUAAAAAAAAAAAUAGAUCACUCAAAGGACAGUUAAGUUACUGUUUACUUUUUUUAUUAAUGUUCAUUUUUGAGAGAGAGAGAGAGAGAGAGAGAGAGAGAGACAAAGAGAGCAGGGGAGGGGCAGAGAUGGAGACACAGAAUCCAAAAAAGGCUCCAAACUCUGAGCUAUGAGCGCAGAGCCCGACAAAGGGCUUCAACCCAUGAACCGUGAGAUCAUGACCUGAUAAGAAGUCAGAUGCUUAACUGACUGAGCCACCCAGGUGCCCCUGUUUACUCUUACAUAUGUAACACUUAUCAUCAGCUUAUAUACAAGACUAACACUAAAUUAACAUAAUAAGUUACUAGGAAAUUACACAUUUAUGAAGUCAUUUUCAAAGUUAAAUUUAAAGCUGUAUAAAAACAAACAUUAUUAUUAACAUUUAUUAUAAUUAAGUACAGAUUUAUGUGGAAAUACUGAAUGCUUGGCUUAUGUAAAACUAGGUUCAUUCCAUAUUAUAUUCUUCAGUCUAGCAUCCCAAAUUUCUGAUUAAAUAAUAUGUAUAUAAAUAGGUACUUACACAAGAAAUUUUAAAUGGUGCAAAUGUUAUAGGUUCUUCUCCAUACAAAGGCCAAUAGCGUUCACAUUUUUUCUGUUAUUCGAACAAAAAGAAGUAAGUUAAUCCAUAUGACAGAAUUUUUCUUGAACUUUUACAAAUAUUUUGUGCCCGAUUAUUCAGCUUCUUGCCCUUCCCAGAAAACACAGAAACUGACAUCAGAUUAAAAAAAAGUUUACUUUAACUCAUGUACCAUAUUAGUAUAAGGAAAAUUCAAAUCACCACAUAAUUUGUUUUCUAAGUUUGAUGUAUGUGUCAUAAUUAUAGAAGACCACACUUAAGUUUUACUUAAUAUUUAUUCUCUGUAAAUAUAUUAGCACCUCCAACAUUGAAGUCUUUGGAAUUGAUGCUGGAGGGGAUCACAAUGGUUUUAAAACUAAUUUCACUUGGACACAGUAUAAAAAACACCAAUGUUGAAAACUUCAUAUUAAGAAUUUUGUUCUCUUUCCUUCUGAAGAUAGUAUGAACAAAAACAAAAAAAUGUAGUGGUAUUAUCUGACAGAAAUCAGAAUAUUCAAGCUAUAACCUGAUGAUAAUUAAUAAAAAUUAUUUUAUUGAACUCA
Long non-coding RNA from Neofelis nebulosa (Clouded leopard), 7868 nucleotides. RefSeq lists it as uncharacterized. The record is from RefSeq and is a predicted model, not a curated record. NCBI's taxonomy places the organism in Eukaryota, Metazoa, Chordata, Mammalia, Carnivora, Felidae. The transcript is spliced from 8 exons.